UCUUGGUCAAUUAGAGGAAGUAAAAGUCGUAACAAGGUUUCCGUAGGUGAACCUGCGGAAGGAUCAUUACCGAAUCGUCGACACGAGUUGUCGCUGGCCCUCAAAAGGGGCACGUGCACGCUCUGUUUGCAUCCACUCACACCUGUGCACCCUCUGUAGUUCUGUGGUUGGAAAGGCAUCGCCUUUCCUCCCGUAGUCCUGCAUCUUUACACACACACUGUAACGUGGUUUUAUGGGAUGUAUGCAGCGUUUAACGCAACACAAUACAACUUUCAGCAACGGAUCUCUUGGCUCUCGCAUCGAUGAAGAACGCAGCGAAAUGCGAUAAGUAAUGUGAAUUGCAGAAUUCAGUGAAUCAUCGAAUCUUUGAACGCACCUUGCGCCCUUUGGCUAUUCCGAAGGGCAUGCCUGUUUGAGUAUCAUGAACACCUCAUACCCCCAUGGUUAUCUAUGGUGGGCUUGGACUAUGGAGGAUUUGCUGGCUUGUUGUCGGCUCCUCUCAAAAGAAUUAGCUUACCGGCAUGUGGUGGCAUCACGAGUGUGAUAAAUAUCUGCGCUUGUGGUAGCCCCCGGAUGACCUCCGUCCUUGGAGGUCUGCUGGAGCUUAUAGAUGUCUUUCUUUAGCAAAGACGGCUUCUGAACGUUUGAUCUCAAAUCAGGUAGGACUACCCGCUGAACUUAAGCAUAUCAAUAAGCGGAGGAA
This 703-nucleotide ribosomal RNA is filed under the name Tomentella sp. SYN 1000. RNAcentral describes it as "eukaryotic LSU rRNA". The stretch from base 268 to 422 matches the Rfam family "5.8S ribosomal RNA". The record is from RNAcentral. Lineage: Eukaryota; Fungi; Basidiomycota; Agaricomycetes; Thelephorales; Thelephoraceae.